RNAcentral lists this ribosomal RNA (371 nucleotides) under uncultured organism. Its description in RNAcentral is "partial 16S ribosomal RNA". It matches the Rfam family "Bacterial small subunit ribosomal RNA", at positions 527 to 896 of the family's 1533-position model. The record is from RNAcentral.
UGAGGGUGCAAGCGUUAAUCGGAAUUACUGGGCGUAAAGCGAGUGUAGGCGGCUAUUUAAGUCGGAUGUGAAAGCCCCGGGCUCAACCUGGGAAUUGCAUUCGAAACUGGAUGGCUAGAGUUUGGUAGAGGUAAGUGGAAUUCCGGGUGUAGCGGUGAAAUGCGUAGAUAUCCGGAGGAACAUCAGUGGCGAAGGCGACUUACUGGACCAAAACUGACGCUGAGGCUCGAAAGCGUGGGGAGCAAACAGGAUUAGAUACCCUGGUAGUCCACGCCCUAAACGAUGUCAACUAGACGUUGGGUUCAUUAAGGAACUUAGUGUCGAAGCUAACGCGUUAAGUUGACCGCCUGGGGAGUACGGCCGCAAGGUUG